UUAGCUAUACAGACUUCACUUAUCCUGGAUCGUUGAUGUGGAAUCUAUUUUAGUCUCCGCGAUCCCAAAAAUAAUAUAAUUCAGUUCUAAAUCUGAAUAAUGUGAGCAUAACCAGUAUAACCUUAUCUGUUUUUAAAAGAUUUGUAAAUUUUGGUUCCUCAUAGCUUGUAUCAUAAACCAAUAUACAGGAUGAUCCAAAAGUAACAAUAGCACAAUGUGGUUUUCACAGAAAUAGACAAAAUGGGUUUUUCUUAUAACUAUUCUGACAAUUUUUUGUUAUUAUUUGCCACCAACAGGUGACACUUCAAUUGUGACAGCAGUUUGAACAUUGUAAUGCAGCUAGGAUUACAAAUGUGACAACACUCUGCAUAGCAUCAAAAAGGCUUUCAGCUGUAAUUUCUGCUACAUGUUGGCUACUGACAUCAACCAAUCUCUGUACACCUAAGGAAUAAGAUCUGGAGAUCUUAGUUUCCAUUCAUGUGGGGAAAAAGUGACUGAAGACAGUCAUUGCCAAAUGUGCUUGCAGUAGGCACUGGAUAGGACUUGUGAUGUGCAGAGAUGCUCCAUCCUGCAUGAAUGGAACAUUACCUCUCUUGCAAGAAGGAAAUGCUGUUAGUCUCUUAAAAGUGCUUCAAAAUGUACCUGUGACAAACAGUUUGAGGAAGUCCACAGUGGUACAUUUCAAAAAAAAAAAGGGAAUAAUGAAUGAUGCAGUGAACCCACCGCACAAUCGUGAAAAUCCCUUUGUGAUGCAAAGUUUCCACAACCUAAUGUGGAUAUUCUCUCGCCCAGAUGCAGUUUCGAGAUUGCUAAAGCACCACUUGUCAGCGACAAAUUAAUUAUUCUGACAAUAAAAUUUUUCAUUAUUAAAAAACAUUGAUGUCUUUCGGUGCAUUUCUAUCAAAACCCGAUCAUACUACUGUCUAUACUUCUUACUUUUUCUGUUAUUUUUG
RNAcentral lists this long non-coding RNA (953 nucleotides) under Androctonus crassicauda. Lineage: Eukaryota; Metazoa; Arthropoda; Arachnida; Scorpiones; Buthidae. The record is from RNAcentral.